This 2446-nucleotide long non-coding RNA is filed under the name Homo sapiens (human). RNAcentral's name for it is "HSALNT0240634". Lineage: Eukaryota; Metazoa; Chordata; Mammalia; Primates; Hominidae. The record is from RNAcentral.
CCUCAGCCUCCCAAAGUGCUGGGAUUACAGGCGUGAGCCACCGCGCCCAGCCAGCUUUAAUGUUUUUAAAAAGCCCCUUUUAAAUUUCCAGUUAAACUUUCAAAUACUUUGCUUAAUUCUCUAAGAGAAAUGGAUACAUCAGGAAGAUGUACCAUAUUCUGUCCUGGGCUUCCCAUCUCCAGCCCGAGUGGAGAUGCCACCUGCUUUAAGAACCAAAGGUCUAAAGGUACCAAAGGAGGUCUCUGUGGUUGUGUAAUUAAAUCCAAGGACCUGGGCACCAGGAAAGAAAAUGCUGAGCACGGCAUGAGCAAGGGGGUUUUGCAAGGCAAGCUGGAGUCAUUUGGGGUUGCUUUGGGAGGUGAAGGAAGGCACUAGAAGAUCUGAGGAAGAGGUAGCCAAAGUUCUGAAUAUAUAAAAGUUGCAGCACCCCCAUCUCCACUGUGGCUUUGGCUGCCAGCCAGAGCUGCCGUUUUAUUGACAAUUUAUUGGAGUGCUUCUCCCAUUGAGCUUUCAUGAUGGUAUUCAUGUUGCACUCUGCUUGAGUCUCAGAUAAAAGGUCCUUCAUCUACACUCCCCAAGACCAUUAUCACUGCUUAUUAUAAUGCCAUUCAGAUGAAAAGCCCCACAGCACUACAAAGAAGAUCUAGACUUAUAAUAAAAUCAAUACUUUCGUUUCCUUACAAGACAAUUAAAGGGGGAGAAAUAGGCGGGUCUACAGACUGUUACUCCUGAGACUCUCCAGAGGAAGGACGCAAGGCUAGGUGGCAGCUGUCUGUGGGGAGCUUCUGUCUCAUUUCAUCUGGGCUUGGGAUGAAUGGAAAGGCUCGUGCAUCUGAUUGAUGAGCACUAGCUUGUAGAUGACAGCAUAGGCCUUCUGCUUCCUAACUCUUGUCAGCCUGCUCCAAGCACUGGCUUUCCAGCAAGCAGCUAUUUCCUCAGCCCUUUCUUCUUCCCCAGUCAGGCAGGCUUUAACCUAAGCCCAAACUAAAUGCCAGCAGUAUUCUCCAAGCUCUUGAUUCCUAUCUACUGAUUGGCUGGCAUAGCCUCAUGGAGACUGUAGUCAAAGAAGAGUGUUUAGGCUCUAAGUAUGAGAAGAUUCAAGGAUUGUAUUGACAAGAGAGCAAACAUAGAAUUUUUGUACAAUGCAGAGAGAUCAGAGAAAUGGAAAGAGACGGAGACCAGGAGAGACAACAAGAAAAAGAAGAGACAAGGAAAAAAGUUGGGAGGAAUCCUCAGCAUCAUGCAGCAAAUCAGACAAAGUUAGCCCAGCUUCCGAGGGGCUAACCUGGAAAAUGCAAAGCUGAGAAGAAGCCAAGACAAAAUAAGCCAAUAGACUGAGGAGUGGCCCACCGUGCUGAGUGUCCUGCAAGGCGUAAAUGGAGUUGACUCAUAAAAGAUCUAUGGACACAGGACUACAGCUUCUGAGGCCUCUGAAAGAAGUGACAUUGUUCCAAGCUGUCCAGACCGAAGCAUCACCUCUGUGAUCAAGCUUGAGAUUGUUUGUGGCUGAGAAAUAUACUGCCAUCUACACACAGGCAGUGUAAAGUCUAAAAGGAGCGACACUGCCUGUUCCUGAAGGAAUAAGAAGUGGGAAGAGAAGAAAGGAGAAAUGAAGCAGGGAGAGUCAGUCCUGCACUGGCUGCAGGUCAUGGCCAGUCAGCAGCCACACAGAAGAUGUAGGAGAGAACAAGAAACCCCUGUUAUCUUCUGGUUACUCCUAGAUAUUCCUUUUUCUACCUGCUGGUUGCCCUGCAGAAUGUGAAAUGGCACAAGAAUUCAAGAUGGGGACCACAGACAGACUAGCUGACAGCUGCAAAGAUUUCGAGGUGGAAGAGAGCUCACUGAGAGACCGGAAAAAGACUUCAUGGAGUAGGGGAUUUUCCAAAUAUGUUUUGAAUGAUAUUUUUUAUAAAGGGUUGGGGAAUGAGCUUCUCUCAUAGAGAACAAAAUAAACACAAUCAAACAUUUGGAAAAUGGAAAAUAGUCUAGUUGUGUUGGUAUUUAUAAUGGAGACAUUAUCCCCAAGCCCCGGAAAGUUGCAUUGAGUCCAGGUUGUGAAAAGUCUUAAAUACCAGGACCAUGGUCUUGAGGCAAAGGUGAGUGAAAGGUAGGGAUCUGCCCUGGAAGACGACUUUCAAGUAUAAGGAAAAAUAAAUAGCCAGCUUCCUUUUGAAGGAAAGUAGCAGAAAAAAGGUGGAAAGUUCCUUUACACAAAUUAUUAGAAAACUGAAAAUGAAACCUAAGUUCAAAAUUAAUCUUGGUGUUUGAAAACUAACACAGUUUUUAAUACUCCUUGGGUUAAAUAAGAAAUCUAAUUUAAAAAUUUUUAAGUAUUUUGAACUGAAUUAAAAUCAAUACACAACCUAUAAAACAGAUGUUGGCAAUUAAGACUUUCCCUGUGCAUACGUGAAACAGAUAAGCGUUUUGGGAGUGAGAAAAAAACGGC